UACGUAGGGUGCAAGCGUUAAUCGGAAUGACUGGGCGUAAAGGGUGUGUAGGCGGUUUGUUAAGUCUGAUGUGAAAUCCCCGGGCUCAACCUGGGAACUGCGUUGGAAACUGGCAAACUAGAGUACGUAAGAGGGGGGUGGAAUUCCACGUGUAGCAGUGAAAUGCGUAGAUAUGCGGAGGAACACCGAUGGCGAAGGCAAUCCCCUGGGCCUGCACUGACGCUCAUGCACGAAAGCGUGGGGAGCAAACAGG
RNAcentral lists this ribosomal RNA (253 nucleotides) under uncultured bacterium. Its description in RNAcentral is "partial 16S ribosomal RNA". It matches the Rfam family "Bacterial small subunit ribosomal RNA", at positions 524 to 776 of the family's 1533-position model. The record is from RNAcentral.